AUACUUACCUGGCUCAGGAGAUACCGUGAUCAAGUAGGCGGUUCUCCCAUUGCGAGGCCUUUCCAUUGCACUUCGGAGGGCUGACUGAUGCGAUUCCCCCAAACGUGGGGAACUCGGGAGUACAAUUUCUGAUAGUGGGGACUGCGUUCGCGCUCUCCCCGU
This 162-nucleotide small nuclear RNA is filed under the name Patiria miniata (bat star). Its description in RNAcentral is "U1 spliceosomal RNA". It matches the Rfam family "U1 spliceosomal RNA". From Rfam's summary of the family: U1 is a small nuclear RNA (snRNA) component of the spliceosome (involved in pre-mRNA splicing). Lineage: Eukaryota; Metazoa; Echinodermata; Asteroidea; Valvatida; Asterinidae. The record is from Rfam by way of RNAcentral.